Molecule: ribosomal RNA, 444 nt
Filed under: Triticum aestivum (bread wheat)
Lineage: Eukaryota; Viridiplantae; Streptophyta; Magnoliopsida; Poales; Poaceae
Description: partial small subunit ribosomal RNA
Source: RNAcentral
AUGCGGUUUUAUAAAAUUAUGAGAAUGAAUAAAUUUACACACCAAACUGACAACAGAAUACACACCAAACUAAUACUCAGUUUAGUACAGAAAUUCUCUUUUCAUGCACUGACGAUAUUUUCUUCUCUAUGUACCAGAGAACAAAGAACAAAAAUACACACCGAACUGACGAUACAAUACACAUUGAAGAAAAGGGAAUUUCUUCUCUUUGGACUAAGGAUAGAAUACAUACCGAACGAACACGAGAACAAUGUCUAUUUGUGUUUUUGCUUUUUUCAUGAAUUGACGAUAUUUUACAAAAAAAAUCAUGUACUGACAACUCUUCUUCAGCUUAGUGCACAAUGUUCAGUAUUCUUUUGUCAGGUUAUUUCAUGGAAUGCAGUACAAGAAAUCAAUGGCAAUAAUCAGAGUUCAGUUUUCAGUGGCAAUAUGUGUAGUAAGUGA